AUGAACGCUGGCGGCGUGCCUAACACAUGCAAGUCGAGCGGCAGCGAGGGGUGCUUGCACCCUGUCGGCGAGCGGCGGACGGCUGAGUAACGCGUGGGAACGUGCCCCAAAGUGAGGAAUAACUGCCCGAAAGGGUAGCUAAUACCGCAUAUUAUCUUCGGAUCAAAGGAUUUAUCCGCUUUGGGAGCGGCUCGCGUCGGAUUAGGUAGUUGGUGAGGUAAUGGCUCACCAAGCCGACGAUCCGUAGCUGGUCUGAGAGGAUGACCAGCCAGACUGGAACUGAGACACGGUCCAGACUCCUACGGGAGGCAGCAGUGAGGAAUCUUCCACAAUGGGCGAAAGCCUGAUGGAGCAACGCUGCGCGCAGGACGAAGGCCUUCGGGUUGUAAACUGCUUUUAUAAGUGAGGAAUAUGACGGUAACUUAUGAAUAAGGAUCGGCUAACUACGUG
This 450-nucleotide ribosomal RNA is filed under the name uncultured bacterium. RNAcentral describes it as "partial 16S ribosomal RNA". It matches the Rfam family "Bacterial small subunit ribosomal RNA", at positions 29 to 507 of the family's 1533-position model. The record is from RNAcentral.